GAUGAACGCUGGCGGCGUGCCUAAUACAUGCAAGUCGAGCGAACAGACGAGGAGCUUGCUCCUCUGACGUUACCGGCGGACGGGUCAUUAACACGUGGAUACCCUCCCUAUAAUAAUGGGAUAACUUUGGGAAACCGACCCUAAUAUCGGCUCAUCUCUUGAACCGGAUGGUUCAAUAGUGUAGGGCGGUUUUGCUGGCCCUUAUAGAUGGAUCCGGUCCGCUGUAGCUUGUUGUUAAGGUAACGGCUUACCAAGGCGACAAUGCGUAGCCGACCUGAGAGGGUGGUCGGCCACCCUGGAACUGGGACACGGUCCCGACUCCUAAGGGAGGCAGCAGUAGGGAAUCUUCCGCAAUGGGCGGAAGCCUGACGGAGCAACGCCGCGUGAGUGAUAAAGGUCUUCGGAUCGUAAAACUCUGUUAUGGGGGAAGAACAAAUGUGUAAGUAACUAUGCACGUCGUGACGGUACCUAAUCAGAAAGCCACGGCUAACUACGUG
This 497-nucleotide ribosomal RNA is filed under the name uncultured bacterium. RNAcentral describes it as "partial 16S ribosomal RNA". It matches the Rfam family "Bacterial small subunit ribosomal RNA", at positions 28 to 507 of the family's 1533-position model. The record is from RNAcentral.